GGGGGGGGGGUCUAUAAUGCAAGUAGAACGCUGAGGAUGGUGCUUGCACUAAUCCAAAGAGUUGCGAACGGGUGAGUAACGCGUAGGUAACCUACCUCAUAGCGGGGGAUAACUAUUGGAAACGAUAGCUAAUACCGCAUGACACUAGAGUACACAUGUACUUAAUUUAAAAGGAGCAAUUGCUUCACUAUGAGAUGGACCUGCGUUGUAUUAGCUAGUUGGUGAGGUAACGGCUCACCAAGGCGACGAUACAUAGCCGACCUGAGAGGGUGAUCGGCCACACUGGGACUGAGACACGGCCCAGACUCCUACGGGAGGCAGCAGUAGGGAAUCUUCGGCAAUGGACGGAAGUCUGACCGAGCAACGCCGCGUGAGUGAAGAAGGUUUUCGGAUCGUAAAGCUCUGUUGUUAGAGAAGAACGGUAAUGGGAGUGGAAAAUCCAUUACGUGACGGUAACUAACCAGAAAGGGACGGCUAACUACGUGCCAGCAGCCGCGGUAAUACGUAGGUCUCGAGCGUUGUCCGGAUUUAUUGGGCGUAAAGCGAGCGCAGGCGGUUCUAUAAGUCUGAAGUAAAAGGCAGUGGCUCAACCAUUGUAUGCUUUGGACACUGUAGAACUUGAGUGCAGAAGGGGAGAGUGGAAUUCCAUGUGUAGCGGUGAAAUGCGUAUAUAUAUGGAGGAACACCGGUGGCGAAAGCGGCUCUCUGGUCUGUAACUGACGCUGAGGCUCGAAAGCGUGGGGAGCAAACAGGAUUAUAUACCCUGGUAGUCCACGCCGUAAACGAUGAGUGCUAUGUGUUAGGCCUCUUUCCGGGGUCUUAGUGCCGCAGCUAACGCAUUAAGCACUCCGCCUGGGGAGUACGACCGCAAGGUUGAAACUCAAAGGAAUUGACGGGGGCCCCGCACAGCCGGUGGAGCAUGGUGGUUUAAUUCGAGCAACGCGAAGACCCUUACCAGGUCUGACAUCCCUCUGACCGUCCUAGAGAUAGGAUUUCCUUUCGGACGAGGAGACAGGUGGUUGAUGGAUGGCCAUCAGCUCGUGUCGUGAGAUGUGGUUAGGUCCGCGCGCACAUGCGAUAUGCGCGCCACACCCCUUAGUUUGUUUAGUGUGCAA
RNAcentral lists this ribosomal RNA (1115 nucleotides) under Streptococcus iniae. Its description in RNAcentral is "bacterial SSU rRNA". It matches the Rfam family "Bacterial small subunit ribosomal RNA", at positions 38 to 1147 of the family's 1533-position model. Lineage: Bacteria; Bacillati; Bacillota; Bacilli; Lactobacillales; Streptococcaceae. The record is from RNAcentral.